Molecule: ribosomal RNA, 253 nt
Filed under: uncultured bacterium
Lineage: Bacteria
Description: partial 16S ribosomal RNA
Rfam family: Bacterial small subunit ribosomal RNA
Source: RNAcentral
UACGAAGGGAGCUAGCGUUGUUCGGAAUUACUGGGCGUAAAGCGCAUGCAGGCGGAUCGUUAAGUCGGGGGUGAAAUCCCGAGGCUCAACCUCGGAACUGCCUUCGAUACUGGCGAUCUUGAGUCCGGGAGAGGUGAGUGGAACUGCGAGUGUAGAGGUGAAAUUCGUAGAUAUUCGGAAGAACACCAGUGGCGAAGGCGGCUCACUGGCCCGGUACUGACGCUGAUGUGCGAAAGCGUGGGGAGCAAACAGG